Molecule: long non-coding RNA, 1099 nt
Organism: Amphiprion ocellaris (clown anemonefish)
Lineage: Eukaryota; Metazoa; Chordata; Actinopteri; Pomacentridae
Exons: 2
Source: RefSeq, a predicted model, not a curated record
UUGGUUUAAAACGAUGUCUUGAAAAUCUCUCAAGCUUCAGUUCAACUGGAGAGAUGAAAAAUGAUGAAAGAUGUACAAUAAUAUAAGUGAACUUAAGUGCAACAUUUCUAGAAUUAAUUCAAAAAUCAAAAUGUCAUCAUUGCUGUUACACCAAAGGCUGUGGGUGCCAGUUAGCGGCAGCGCUCUCCCCUCCCCCUUGUGUUUUGGUGUCACUCUCUAAUUAGGUGUGCGUGUGCACAGAGGCUGGCAGGAGAUGAUGGCAAUCCCUUAUCAGUGAGAGCAGUGCACGAGCAGGUGGGAGCAGUCCAAUCAGCCACUCCAACUCCUCCAUAAAACCUGACGCCACUCACCACUCGUCGCCGGACCAUGAACGUUCUCUAACCGGUUCCUGCCUGCUCGUAUUACCUCGGAUUCCUGGUUCCGUCCUCUGCAGAACCCCUGUGUGGUCUACCCUGGAUAUCUCUGGUCUCCUUACAUCAGUAUCGGCUCAGUCACUCCUGCACCUCUGAUGCCAGUCACCUGCCGUGCCACUUCUGUUGCCCUGGCCGCCAUGCCACCUCUGACACCAACCUCACAAAGCUCUGCCGCCAUUCUGCUGUUGGAUUCCUGCCACACCACCGCUGGUUCCAGCCACAGCCACCUGCAGCUGCUACGUCACUGCUGGCUGUGUACUACCACCUCUCAGUGCACCGGUCUUGCCUGAAAAUGUCUACGUCAGCUAAGUUUCCAAACCCGUACAGUACCAGACUCAAAUUCACUACUCCUUAGUGCCGAAAUUCUCUGACAUCGUAUUUGGGCUUCUGUACUAGCUGAUCUAUGGUUUUCGUAUGACACUUGAUUGUAGUAUUACACAUUAUUACUUCAAGCUUGUUUCUUGUCUCGAAUAUGGUAUUCCUGCCUUGGUAGUACCAUACAUGGGUCUGCUAACGUUACCCUUUUCUCUUGUCUUGUAGUUUUUCCUCCUCCCUGCUAGGAGGAUUCGAGUCUUCCUUAGAUGGAAGGAUUAUUUCCGCGUCGAGUGUAGUUCUGGUUUCCGAUAGUAGUUUUUUUUUUUUGUUGUUGUUGUUCCUGUUUUGUAAAUAAAGCCUUUUGAAUUGCU